Molecule: ribosomal RNA, 498 nt
Filed under: uncultured bacterium
Lineage: Bacteria
Description: partial 16S ribosomal RNA
Rfam family: Bacterial small subunit ribosomal RNA
Source: RNAcentral
AUUGAACGCUGGCGGCAUGCCUUACACAUGCAAGUCGAACGGCAGCACGGGGCAACCUGGUGGCGAGUGGCGAACGGGUGAGUAAUGCAUCGGAACGUACCUUUCAGUGGGGGAUAACGUAGCGAAAGUUACGCUAAUACCGCAUAUUCUGUGAGCAGGAAAGCAGGGGAUCGCAAGACCUUGCGCUGAUUGAGCGGCCGAUGUUAGAUUAGCUAGUUGGUGAGGUAAAGGCCCACCAAGGCGACGAUCUGUAGCGGGUCUGAGAGGAUGAUCCGCCACACUGGAACUGAGACACGGUCCAGACUCCUACGGGAGGCAGCAGUGGGGAAUUUUGGACAAUGGGGGCAACCCUGAUCCAGCCAUGCCGCGUGAGUGAAGAAGUCCUUCGGGUUGUAAAGCUCUUUCGGCCGGGAAGAAAUCGCACGGGCUAAUACCCUGUGUGGAUGACGGUACCGGAAUAAGAAGCACCGGCUAACUACGUGCCAGCCGCCGCAGUAA